Molecule: non-coding RNA, 515 nt
Organism: Mus caroli (Ryukyu mouse)
Lineage: Eukaryota; Metazoa; Chordata; Mammalia; Rodentia; Muridae
Source: the annotation of a RefSeq genome assembly
UCAGUGCUCAUCCCACUAUGGGCAUCCAGACCCUCUGUUGUGUGAUCUUUUAUGUUCUGAUAGCAAAUCACACAGAUGCUGGAGUCACCCAGACACCCAGGCAUGAGGUGGCAGAGAAAGGACAAACAAUAACUCUGAAGUGUGAGCCAGUUUCAGGCCACAAUGACCUUUUCUGGUACAGACAGACCAAGAUACAGGGACUAGAGUUGCUGAGCUACUUCCGCAGCAAGUCUCUCAUGGAAGAUGGUGGGACUCUCAAGGAUCGAUUUAAAGCUGAGAUGCCAAAUUCAUCCUUUUCCACUCUGAAGAUUCAACCUACAGAACCCCAGGACUCAGCUGUGUAUCUGUGUGCCAGCAGUUUAGCCACAGAGCUAUAUAAGGAUGCCCUGCCUGUGCAAAAACACUCGUAUCCUCCUCUCCCUCCAGGCCCUACCAGUUCUGAAGUUUCCUGUGCUCCUUCAUUAACACAAACAAAAACAACAAGGAAUAGAGGCAUGACAAAAAACAGAAGAUAA